RNAcentral lists this ribosomal RNA (254 nucleotides) under uncultured bacterium. RNAcentral's name for it is "partial 16S ribosomal RNA". It matches the Rfam family "Bacterial small subunit ribosomal RNA", at positions 524 to 776 of the family's 1533-position model. The record is from RNAcentral.
UACGUAGGGUGCAAGCGUUGUCCGGAAUUAUUGGGCGUAAAGAGCUCGUAGGCGGUUUGUUGCGUCGGCUGUGAAAUCCCGAGGCUCAACCUCGGGUCUGCAGUCGAUACGAGCAAACUAGAGUGUUGCAGGGGAGACUGGAAUUCCUGGUGUAGCGGUGAAAUGCGCAGAUAUCAGGAGGAACACCGGUGGCGAAGGCGGGGUCUCUGGGCCGACACUGACGCUGAGGAGCGAAAGCGUGGGGAGCGAACAGG